GAACGUCUUCAGGGCGGGGUGCGAUUCCCCACCGGCGGUAGGUGCGCCUGGCGCGCACGAGCCCGCGAGCGCUGCGAGGGGGUGACGCCCACGCAGGUCAGCAGAUCCGGUCCGAUGCCGGAGCCGACGGUUGGUGCCGCAUCCCGGCGCCAGAAAGUCCGGAUGAAAGAAGACGACC
This 178-nucleotide non-coding RNA is filed under the name Pseudoxanthomonas spadix. RNAcentral's name for it is "FMN sequence". It matches the Rfam family "FMN riboswitch aptamer (RFN element)". From Rfam's summary of the family: The RFN element is a highly conserved domain that is found frequently in the 5'-untranslated regions of prokaryotic mRNAs that encode for flavin mononucleotide (FMN) biosynthesis and transport proteins. This element is a metabolite-dependent riboswitch that directly binds FMN in the absence of proteins. RNAcentral also lists the same sequence under 1 other name. Lineage: Bacteria; Pseudomonadati; Pseudomonadota; Gammaproteobacteria; Lysobacterales; Lysobacteraceae. The record is from RNAcentral.